RNAcentral lists this ribosomal RNA (301 nucleotides) under uncultured bacterium. RNAcentral's name for it is "partial 16S ribosomal RNA". It matches the Rfam family "Bacterial small subunit ribosomal RNA", at positions 509 to 809 of the family's 1533-position model. The record is from RNAcentral.
CAGUCGCCACGGUAACACAGAGGGUGCGAGCGUUAAUCGGAUUUACUGGGCGUAAAGCGUGCGUAGGCGGCUUUUUAAGUCGGAUGUGAAAUCCCUGAGCUUAACUUAGGAAUUGCAUUCGAUACUGGGAAGCUAGAGUAUGGGAGAGGAUGGUAGAAUUCCAGGUGUAGCGGUGAAAUGCGUAGAGAUCUGGAGGAAUACCGAUGGCGAAGGCAGCCAUCUGGCCUAAUACUGACGCUGAGGUACGAAAGCAUGGGGAGCAAACAGGAUUAGAUACCCCCGUAGUCCCUGUCUCUUAUAA